Molecule: long non-coding RNA, 2468 nt
Organism: Dermacentor andersoni
Lineage: Eukaryota; Metazoa; Arthropoda; Arachnida; Ixodida; Ixodidae
Source: RefSeq, a predicted model, not a curated record
UUUAAUUAGCCUUGGCCUCAAGUCAGAGGACUUUGUUGACAUUGAAAGUGGCAAUUCUCUUCUGGCUGAGGGCAAAUCUAGACUUGCAGUGGCCCCUGAAAAGAUGGCUGAAAGUAAAAGAAGAAAAGUGGCUGCACGCACGUGAAGUACUUUUCCGGGGGUUUGAUAGUAGUUUUGUGGACACAAGCCCGACUGAUGUUGAAACUUGUGCGAAUUUUCUUCAUUGGACUUUUUAGUUGGCAGUUUAUUAGAGCACAUAACCAGAAUUUUCUUCAUAUUCAUUGCUGUGCUUCUGUAUAUUCAUAAUGUCUGUUUAAAUUUAGUAGAUAUGCUUUCAUGAAUGGGAUUUCCUGUCAAGGUGCUAUUGUUCCCGCUGUGGUAUGUUUAGGCCCGCACAGUCAGUCAUGCAGUUUCACUCAAGUGAGUGUAUUCUCUGCUUUCUUUUUUCUUUUUUUGUUAAAGGUUUUUUCGCUAGUCAAGCUGCUUCACUCAUGACUAUACACACAGUUGUUCACUAGUCCUGCUGUUUUACUCAAGUGAGUGUAUUCUCUGGUAUCUUUUGUAAAGGUUUGUUCUCUAGUCAUGCUGCUUCACUUGGGUGAGUGUAUUGCUUAGUUUUGUAAAAAGGUUGUUCUCUAGUCAUGUUGCCUCAUUACUGGGUUCCUUGCUUUAUUAUCAACAGGGUUUGCUUGCUAGUAAUGUUGCCUCACUAGGAUAAUUGUAUUCCUUGGUUUGUCUCGUAAGAGGAUUGUUCUUUAGUCACACUGCCUCACUAUUUUGAGUAUUCCUUUUUGUAAAACGUUUGUUCACAAGUGGUGCUAGUUCCAUGAGCAUAUAUUCAUUGCAUUGUUUCAUGACAGCUUUAUCAGUCACAUUGCCUCACCCAUGUGAGUGUAUUCUAUUUCCUUUGUGAAAGGCCACUGUUGUGAUAUUUAAUCAUGAGAUCUGUUCCUGUGAUCUUUCCUGUACAAGUACAUGCAAAUAUCCGCCCAAGCUGCUGUGAUAGUGUUGUUGCCUUAAGACGUUUUAUAAUAAAAUGCAAUAAUUGUAUAUUUACACAUUGUUUGUCUGCUAACUUUAGUUAAAGCUAGACUAGUUCGUGGUAUUAAUAAUUAAAAUAAGUUGCAUUUGUUAUAUUUUGGCUAUAAUAGAACACCACUCAGCACUUCUUGCUUUCUUAUUAUUUACUUGCUGUGAAAGCUGCACAUACGUUUUGCAAUUGUUUCAACAGACACCCGCUUCGAACGCUCGUUUUACUGCUCCGAAAAGCAAUUUUGCCUGCUCCGAAAGCCCCAUUUUACUGCUCCAAAGCAUUUCUGCCUGCUCCGAAAGCCGAUUUUACUGCUCCGAAAAGCAUUUUUGCCUGCUCCGAACGCUACUCCGAAAUGGCCAAGGCCAGUAUCAUCACUGCAAAUUUCUACAACCAGACAAAUUUUUAAUCACUGAUUUGCUUAAUUUCAGCUCACUCAUUCAAAGUGCAAAUACAGUGUGAAUGAAGCAGUCACAUGGGCAUACAGUUUAGUUAACGGCUUUGACAAACAUCACCUUAGCACUAUAGUGCUUUGAUUUCUCUCAUGCGGCAUUUUCUUGUGGACAAAAUGAAUCUGGAGCAUUGUAUUUCAUUGUAUUGGGUAUUUGAGGCCUGAUGUUAAAUGCAAGAGCAAAUUGAGAUUUGUUAAAGCACUUAGUUCAGGCUCGAAGUGCACAUCACAACAAAAAGGAGGCUAAGCGUGGGUUUCAGUUUCAAAUUAAUACGUCUAUUGAGAAUGCCAUGCGGAGGGAUAUUCAAAGCAAGACCCAUUGGCAUGGCUUCAUUUAUUCGUUGCAACGCAUUCAAGUUUGCUGUUGAUUAACAGGUGGAUGAAGAAGGCAAUCCUUGCGUUUUAUAGAGUCCCGAACAGUCACAUGGCAAUGAUCGCCAAGCCUCUCAUAACAUGGAGCCACCUCAGAAUUGCACCAAAGGCAACCCUGUCGGCAACCCUGUCGUGACGAUAACACCUAAUGUGCCGCUCUUCGUGUAGAUUGCCGCUGGAUGCCUUGUUCUCACUUCGGCCUCGUGAACAACGAUUUCGACAAGCGACGGAUGCUGCUGGCGUGGCGCUGAAUUGGGAACUCCGGUGCCGCUUCGUUUCGACGUUUUCGGUACCUUUUCUACGCCCCCAACAAUCUCAGCUGCUGCACAUGUGCAUGAUGCCUACGGAGGAUCGCGCAAAGCUACGAUGACGUCACUCACCGAUAAGUGGAUCGCCUCGCCGUUGGGUUUAAAAGGACUACCAGUGCCUGCUUUCUUCAGUGGACACGGCAGCCCUGUCGUGACGAUGACACCUAAUGUGCCGCUCUUCGUGCAGGAAGCCAUCAUCUGGUGCUGUGUACAGCAAGCACAUGCUUCGGGCAAGGAGGGAGGUAGCCAGCACCAUAUCUACAUAAGCAAGAACAUCAGUGCUGAAAAUAAACAUUUUCUGUCUAAA